AGAGUUUGAUCCUGGCUCAGGACUAACGCUGGCGGCGUGCCUAACACAUGCAAGUCGAACGGAAAGGCUCGAAAGCUUGCUUUUGAGUACUCAAGUGGCAAACGGGUGAGUAACGCGUAAGGAACCUACCCUUUGGACGGGGACAACCACGGGAAACUGUGGCUAAUACCGGAUACGUUCUCUUUUUCACCUGAAAGAGAGAAGAAAUCAAUUUGGCCGAAGGAUGGUCUUGCGUCUGAUUAGCUUGUUGGUAAGGUAAUGGCUUACCAAGGCGAUGAUCAGUAGCUGGUCUGAGAGGAUGAUCAGCCACAUUGGGACUGAGACACGGCCCAGACUCCUACGGGAGGCAGCAGUGAGGAAUUUUGCGCAAUGGGGGAAACCCUGACGCAGCGACGCCGCGUGGAGGAUGAAGUCUUUCGGGAUGUAAACUCCUGUCAGUGGGGAAGAUAAUGACGGUACCCACAGAGGAAGCACCGGCUAACUAUGUGCCAGCAGCCGCGGUAAUACAUAGGGUGCAAGCGUUGUCCGGAUUUAUUGGGCGUAAAGCGCACGUAGGUGGUAAAUUAAGUUGGAUUUGAAAUGCUGUGGCUCAACCAUGGUUUGGGUCCAAUACUGGUUUACUAGAGAACAGGAGAGGGAAGUGGAAUUCACGGUGUAGCGGUGAAAUGCGUAGAUAUCGUGAGGAACACCAGUGGCGAAGGCGGCUUCCUGGACUGUAUCUGACACUAAGGUGCGAAAGCGUGGGUAGCAAACAGGAUUAGAUACCCUGUAGUCCACGCUGUAAACGAUGUUCAUUAGGUGUGGGGAGUUUCAAUACUUUCCGUGCCGUAGCUAACGCGUUAAAUGAACCGCCUGGGGAGUACGGCCGCAAGGCUAAAACUCAAAGGAAUUGACGGGGGCCCGCACAAGCAGUGGAUCAUGUGGUUUAAUUCGAUGAUACCCGAAAAACCUUACCAGCACUUGACAUCUAGGGAAUCCUUUAGAGAUAUUGGAGUGCCUUCGGGAACCCUAAGACAGGUGGUGCAUGGUUGUCGUCAGCUCGUGUCGUGAGAUGUUGGGUUAAGUCCCGCAACGAGCGCAACCCCUGUCCUAUGUUGCUACCCUUUUUGGGAGCACCCUUAGGAGACUGCCUGUGGAAAACAGGAGGAAGGUGGGGAUGACGUCAAAUCAUCAUGCCCCUUACGUGCUGGGCUACACACAUGAUACAAUGGAUGGUACAAAGGGUUGCUAAGCCGCGAGGUGGUGCUAAUCUCAUAAAACCAUUCCCAGUUCGGAUUGUAGUCUGCAACUCGACUACAUGAAGUUGGAAUUGCUAGUAAACGCAGAUCAGCAAGCUGCGUUGAAUACGUUCCCGGGCCUUGUACACACCGCCCGUCACACCAUGAGAGCCGGAUAUACCCGAAGUCAGUGAGCCAACCGCAAGGAGGCAGCUGCCGAAGGUAGAGCUGGUGAUUGGGGUGAAGUCGUAACAAGGUA
RNAcentral lists this ribosomal RNA (1476 nucleotides) under metagenome. RNAcentral's name for it is "bacterial SSU rRNA". It matches the Rfam family "Bacterial small subunit ribosomal RNA". The record is from RNAcentral.